Molecule: unclassified non-coding RNA, 245 nt
Filed under: Hevea brasiliensis (rubber tree)
Lineage: Eukaryota; Viridiplantae; Streptophyta; Magnoliopsida; Malpighiales; Euphorbiaceae
Source: RNAcentral
GAACAAUCACAUAAUGGUCCAUCAAAUAAGAAUUAUUUACAUUGUGAUUACUGUGAGAAAUCCCAGCAUACAAACGAACAUUGCUGGAAGUUACAUGGUCGCCCAUCCAAAGGGAGUGAACGGAAACGGACAAGCUUAGGAAGACCACAACAAAUUUAUCUGAGACAAUAGAAUUUUUUGAAGACAUUGCCCCUACUGCCACCACCAGGAUCCUCUCCAAUGAAGAAGUAUAAUCCUUAAGGCAU